This 468-nucleotide ribosomal RNA is filed under the name uncultured bacterium. RNAcentral describes it as "partial 16S ribosomal RNA". It matches the Rfam family "Bacterial small subunit ribosomal RNA", at positions 28 to 507 of the family's 1533-position model. The record is from RNAcentral.
GACGAACGCUGGCGGCGUGCUUAACACAUGCAAGUCGAACGGAAAGGCCCUGCUUUUGUGGGUUGCUCGAGUGGCGACCGGGUGAGUAACACGUGAGUCACCUGCCCUUUACUUUGGGCUCACUUCAGGAAACUGGUUCUAAUACCGGAUAGGAGCUCCUUCUGCCUGGUUGGUGUUGGAAAGUUUCGGCGGUUGGGGAUGGACUUGCGGCUUAUCCGCUUGUUGGUGGGUUAGUGGCUUACCAAGGCUUUGACGUGUAGCCGGCCUGAGAGGGUGACCGGCCACAUUAGGACUGAGAUACGGCACAGACUCCUACGGGAGGCAGCAGUGGGGAAUAUUGAACAAUGGGCGGAAGCCUGAUGGAGGAACGCAGCGUGCGGGAUGACGGCCUUCGGGUUGUAAACCGCUUUCGAAGGUGACGAAGCGUGAGUGACGGUAAUGGGUAAAGAAGCACCGGCUAACUACGUG